GUGGCAUCGGAGACAUCCGAUAAGAUUGGAAAGAUAUUGAGAAAAUUAGAAUACCCCUAUGCAAGGAUGAUACUCCUAAAUGGAGUAAAAAAUGGGAGACCUUU
Amaranthus tricolor (Joseph's coat) is the source of this 104-nucleotide small nuclear RNA. The record is from RefSeq and is a predicted model, not a curated record. NCBI's taxonomy places the organism in Eukaryota, Viridiplantae, Streptophyta, Magnoliopsida, Caryophyllales, Amaranthaceae.